UACGGGGGGGCAAGCGUUGUUCGGAAUUACUGGGCGUAAAGGGCUUGUAGGCGGCCAACUAAGUCAGACGUGAAAUCCCUCGGCUUAACCGGGGAACUGCGUCUGAUACUGGAUGGCUAGAGAUUGGGAGAGGGAUGCGGAAUUCCAGGUGUAGCGGUGAAAUGCGUAGAUAUCUGGAGGAACACCGGUGGCGAAGGCGGCAUCCUGGACCAACACUGACGCUGAGGAGCGAAAGCCAGGGAGCAAACAGG
RNAcentral lists this ribosomal RNA (251 nucleotides) under uncultured bacterium. RNAcentral's name for it is "partial 16S ribosomal RNA". It matches the Rfam family "Bacterial small subunit ribosomal RNA", at positions 524 to 776 of the family's 1533-position model. The record is from RNAcentral.